This 1096-nucleotide long non-coding RNA is filed under the name Homo sapiens (human). RNAcentral describes it as "HSALNT0398195". Lineage: Eukaryota; Metazoa; Chordata; Mammalia; Primates; Hominidae. The record is from RNAcentral.
AGCAAGGAGGCCAGUGUGGUGGAGAGGGUGGGGAAGGAGGAAAAGGUGGGUGGAAGUUGACGUCAGGAGAUGGACGGAGGGGCACAUGGCGCAGGGCCAGGUAAGGCACUGCCGAGACUGUGGCUUUGAGGGGCAGGGUGCUGUGAAAGGCGAAUAACGGCCCCCCAGUGACGUCUACAUCCUAAUCCCCUGUGAAUGUUACGUUAUAUGACAAAAGAAUGCAGCCAUGAUUAAGUUCAGGAUCGUGCUUUGGGGAGAUUAUCCUGGAUUGCCCUGGCAGGCUCUUUAUGUAAUCACACAGAUCCUUAUAAUCGAGAAGGACACAGGAAGCGUGAGUCAGAGGGGCUGUGACAACAAAGGAAGCAAAGCCCUUUGAAGACGGGAGAAGGAGCUGAAAGUCAAGCAGCACUUCAGAGUCAGAAUGAUUGAGUGUGAGAGAGUCCAUGGGCCAUCGAAAUGGGAAACUAAUCUAGAGGAUGAGGAAGAAAUCACAGAAGGAGAAGUUGCGUCUCAUGCUGACUCAGUAUGCAAAUACUCUCUGGGAGACUUCUCCAUCCUCAGACCGCUCCAGACACCAAAUGCCUGGGCCUUUGACCGCCUUGCUAAGAGGGUCAACCAAGCCAGCCAGGGGAUUGGAGAGAAGAGUGUGCCAAUAAUUGGUUUGUUCAUCAAUUCAAUGAAGAUUUAUUGAGCAUCUGUUGUGGACAGCCCUAUUCUAGGUUCUGGGGAGACAGCCAUGAAUGAGACAGUGAUGGCUGCUUUUGGAGAGCUGACCUUCUAGUGGGAGACAGGCCACAGAAAAACAAAGCACAUGGAACAUAAUGUCAGGGAUGACGAUGCUGUGAAGGAAUGGAGCAGGUGCUAAGAACCUACUGGAACGGGCAUGCUUAAGAGGUGCUGGAGAGGGUCAACUCUUGGGUGACUGCUUCGAGCAAUGGGAGGGUGGGGAGCAGGGGUGUUGUACACACUGCGACAGGGCCAGGUUUGCAAAAGAAAUCAAGACAUGGCCACACAAACACUUCUGUGUGACUGUUCACAGCAGCAUUAUUCACAAUAGCCAAAAGGUAGAAAUAACCCAAAUGCCCAUGAACAGACG